ACCUGGCUGGCUCAGUUGGUGGAGCAUGUGACUCUUGAUCUCAGGGUUGUGGGUUCGAGCCCCAUGUUGGGUG
Molecule: transfer RNA, 73 nt
Filed under: Ailuropoda melanoleuca (giant panda)
Lineage: Eukaryota; Metazoa; Chordata; Mammalia; Carnivora; Ursidae
Description: tRNA-Lys (CTT) (tRNA-Lys-CTT-13-1)
Rfam family: tRNA
About the family: Transfer RNA (tRNA) molecules are approximately 80 nucleotides in length. Their secondary structure includes four short double-helical elements and three loops (D, anti-codon, and T loops). Further hydrogen bonds mediate the characteristic L-shaped molecular structure. tRNAs have two regions of fundamental functional importance: the anti-codon, which is responsible for specific mRNA codon recognition, and the 3' end, to which the tRNAs corresponding amino acid is attached (by aminoacyl-tRNA synthetases). tRNAs cope with the degeneracy of the genetic code in two manners: having more than one tRNA (with a specific anti-codon) for a particular amino acid; and 'wobble' base-pairing, i.e. permitting non-standard base-pairing at the 3rd anti-codon position.
Source: Rfam by way of RNAcentral